This 4375-nucleotide long non-coding RNA is filed under the name Apis mellifera (honey bee). RNAcentral's name for it is "uncharacterized LOC113219202". The record is from RNAcentral. Lineage: Eukaryota; Metazoa; Arthropoda; Insecta; Hymenoptera; Apidae.
GAAGUACACAGGUGUAAUUACGAGGAACACGGGUAAAUGGUGUGCGACGUGUAUAUAUAUGUAUAUGUGCGUGUGUACGCAUGGAUCGGUUGGCGCAUUAUCCACGGGGUGUAAUUAAUUUCCAACGAUAACAAGUUUCGAGGUGUCCAUGGUUACGACGACGUCGUUGCGUGAGUCGGUGUUUUCUGAGUCGAGCAAAGGGUUAACACGAAGUGCCGCGAAGAAAGCUUCUGCAGAGAUUCUGGACAAUCUGCAUGAGCUCCUUCUCCUCCUCCUCUUCCUCUUCCGUUUUCUCGUUUCUUCUCAGAAGUUUGGGAACGAAAGUAGAAAGGGAGACUUGAUGUUCGUCGCAGAGGAUAAACGAAGCUCGAUAACGAUUUCUUUUCUCUUUCUCUCUGCACGAAUCAAGUUUUGGAGAGAGAGAGAGAAGAAUGAUGAUAAGAAAAGAAAGGAAAAGGAAGAAAUUAGCCAGCUCUUCAAGCCGGGGCGACACACAUCGAGUGGGUUGGAGUCGAGAAUGGCCGAGGCACACGAUCGAGGUUGCCUCGUUCAAGGCUUGGGAGAUUACUUUUCGGCGCGUAUAAUUUUCAAAACAAAUUUCCUUGGAGAGGGGUGAAUAAGGAUGACCGAUUUAAAAUAGCCGGGGACGAGGCGGGGGAGGAAGAGGCUAAUAAAGUUCAAAGAGUCUGUUUAUCAGCCAGGAUAUUACGAAAGCCUUUUAUAACCGUUCCUUCGUAGAGAGCGCGUUUUAUUUCGCUACUCUCUCUUCUGCCUCCUCCUCCUCCUCCUCUUCCGUUAAUUUCAUUUGCGUCGAAACGAUUCGAGGACCGAGUUCGAAAAAAAAAAAGGAAAGGAAAGGAAAGAGAAAAAAAGAGAGAGAGAGAGAGAGGAAGCGCCUCCUCUUUUCAAGAUCUAUCACGAUACACACCGUGUCCAAGCGUGAUUUAUCGUUGAAAAGUGGCACGAAUUCGUGAAAUAAUGACGGGCGCGUGGAAUAAUUUUUAAAUCUACGCGCGUAUCCUCGAGGCACGAGGAUUCGUAGACAAACAGAGACGGUCCAUUCUGUAUUAACCGUAUCGGUAUGAAGCGUGAUUUACAACCGGCGGUAUAACAGUAGUACUAUCUGGUAUUUUCUGAGCUCUCCGUUUGAUUUAUAAUAGCUGCAUCGGUUGUAGAUGCUUGCAAGAAUCGUCGAUCCCAGACAACGAUCGAUUUUAUCGAGUUUCAUAAUGGGAAAAAUAAAACCCUCCCUUCGUAUUUAUAUUUCUCCAAGUUUUAAAUUCUUCUUCUUCUUCUUUUUUUUUUCUUUCAGACGUUGUUUAAUUGGGAUCUAUUGUUCCUACACGAGAGCGGGGCCGCUCUCGACUUUGAAGUGGCUUGCCAGUUUAACUGGCUUUGCAAACGUUUGCUCGCGAAACACACGACAUACCGGUGAGAAAUGCCCCCCGAAAGCGAGUCCGCUGUGAAAGUCUGCCGGUGGAAAAACUCGAGAAAAUUGGAUAACCGUGCGUGUGUAAACGAGGGACAAAUAACAAUCACUUUUAUCCUGUCGAAAUUCCUGUGAAACGUUCCCGUCCAAAACGUUCCAAGGAUCGUUGUUUCCCUUGUAAACUCGGCCAUCUCGAAAAUCGGUCUCGCUGUUGGGCGUGGAAAAAUUAUUAUUUCGGCUUCGGCCUGUUUUCCUCCGGUUUUGGAAAGCCGGAGGAGGAGUAUUAAUACGAUUCGAGCACUGUCGAGCUCGCGGUGAUUUAUUGUUCCAAUCGCGGCGCACGAAAUACGGGGGAAAAGCAGUUUUGAAUCUAGGCUUAUCGAUCACGGAGCCGAACUGCAUGGAGCCGAGUCUCUCUCUCUCUCUCUCUGGAACAGUAGAAACAGACGGUCAUAUGUUAGCCGCAUUAGUACGACGAGUGACUUUCAAUCAAGUUACGCUAGCAACCCCCCCGUUCGCUCAUAGAGAGCACACCUCAAACGUCGAUAUUCGAAUUCGUGUCUCUCCCCCCGUUCAUCGAUUCCCGAGCACGAUCGAACGAGCACAGUGUCCUUUCGUAACUCGAUUCCGAUUUCCGAGAUCGGGAAGAAUUUAUGAAUCCCAUUUAUAGGAUAGCGCGAAGCAUACUCGAUCGUGUGGUACUUAUUUCUCGAAUCGUUUCUUUCUUUUUUUUCCCCCCUCACCGAAUCAAAAGAAUCGAAAUGGUGUUCAGAUGUAAAAAUUCGGAUCGUUCGAAAUGAAAAUGUUUGCGAGCCGUGUCUUCCGAGCAAAUAAGUCAUCGCCGCAUGCUCCAGUUCCCGGACCAAGGGGUAAUAAGGCGUAACGAGAAAUCGAUAUUACGAUGAAAACGAGUAAACAAACUCUCGUGAACGAAAAGGAAAUUUUUUUAUCCCGAGGCUUUCGAGAGGAUAAUUUAUAAUUUUUCGGAUGUAUAAAUAUCGAUCCUGGGAGGAAUCGAAUAUAAAAACCUGGAUGGGGGGCAAUUUGUUAAAAAUUUUUCGCGGAAUCGCGGUGAAAAAUCUGGAGAAUCUAAAGUGUAAUAGUUUCCUCUGUUGCUCCUCUGUUCACCUCCAGCAACCCUAGGAAAUUCGAGGGUUCAGCAGCUUAUUAAAAAACGUGAAAUCACCGCGAUAUCAUCGUGCUGAAGUCGUUGCAAACUUAAUACGAUACUCAUUAACCAGUUAUCGCGGCUGAAAUACGUAAGUGAGAUUUAUUAACGUUUCGUGGCACGGUUGGGAUCGUACGUGCUGACUGCGCCGUCGGUAUCACGAUUUUUUUCAUCUCUCCAGGCUUACCUUAACCAUAUAGGAGAGAGAGAGAGAGAGAGAAAGAUAAUUGCGUUAUCUCGAGUAAAACUAGUUGAUUGCGAUGAUACCUUUUCGUUUUUUUUUUUCUUCUUUUUGUUUUUCAAGAUAGCGGAUCUUGUUUAUCAUCGACGAGAUUGGUCGAAACAAAAGAGGGGAGGAGGGAGGAAACGAACGAUAAACGGAGCACGGAGUGGGAAAAACGAUGCCUCGAUCAUUUUAUCGUUUUUUCGGAUCGUUAAUUGUAAUUCCCCCCAACGAUCGGAUGGAAUACAAUGGAAAUACACCAGAUGCCUUUUCCCAUAAAAAAUUUUUAAACGUUUCUCGACUAAUUACGCGAGAAACAUUUCGUUCCCGUAACGAAAUUUUAUGCAGGGUAAUCUCUGUUCGUUGUUUUAACGCGCGAAAAAGGAAAAAAAAGAUACCGUAUUCCGUAAGUAAGUACGAUCCACAAUUUUUUAUUACACUUAUUACACAUACUUUUUUCCAUUUUCUUUUCAAAUUCAACGCUCUUGUUCGCGCUCUUCGAUCGAUCAUCGAUUAAACGCGCGACUCCGUCCGCGGAUUAAUCAAAAAUAAAUUGUGAAACAAACGUUAAAUACUUAUACAUUAUAAAUAUUUCAUGGAUCCAUUGCUGUUAUCUCUUAUUCUCUACGAUUUUUAUCCGCAAUUCCGUUACGCGGUUGCGAAGUUUUUUCACAAUUCUUAGCGAUCGGUCGAAUUUGCGGUCGCAACGAUCCGACGGAAAUCGAUGUCUCGUUAGUUCUGGCGCAAAAAAGAAAAAAAGAAAGAAAGAAAGAAGGAAAAAAACGGGGCCGGGUUAUGAACGGUUUGCGAGAGAGGAGGGGGAAAAAAUUUCGAAAAAAUCCACGGUUGGGACCGGGAAAAGCGUGUGCAAUUUUCGAAAGUAAAAAGUUCUGGUGUGACGCGCCGCCUCUCCUUUCACCUCUCCCCCUCCCCUCCCCCCUCGUUCCGCGAAAAUGGGGAAAAAGUUUCUCGUUCCCUCGAGCGAACGGAAGCGGAUAUCGACUAUUAUACGCCGAGUCGAAUUGAAACGCGCCUAGAAACUUUUCGCGCACAGCCGCGCUUUUAAAAAAGGACCGUUCUUCGGGAUUUUAUUGGAAUAUUUGAUAAAGCCACCCCCGGUGGUAAAAAAUAAAGAGCAAUUCUAUUCGGUUAAUGAAAUACGAUUCCUCCGUCGAGCGCUCUUAAAACCGCAACGAUUCUCCAAUCUCGAGUGAUCGAUCUCGAUAUUUAAAUUCUUGUCUACGAAAAAAAAAGAAUAGAAAAAAAUAGAGAACAAUAGAAGAAAAAAAAAGAAAAGAAAGGGAAAAGCAUCAAAGUAUCGGAAAAAACAAUGGUCGAAAAUUCUUCCCCAUCUCGAACAUCUUAAUAUAGAACAUCUCCAAUCUCGAGUGAUCGAUCUCGAUAUUUAAAUUCUUGUCUACGAAAAAGAAUAGAGAAAAAUAGAAAAAAAUAGAGAAAAAUAAAAGAAAAAAAAGAAAAGAAAGGGAAAAACAUCAUCUUAAUAUAGAAAUCUCCAAUCUCGAGUGAUCGAUCUCGAUAUUUAAAUUCUUGUCUA